CCCUUAAUCUGGCCUCUGGAACCGUGAGACAAUCAAUUUCCGUUGUUUAAGCCACCAGUUUGUGGUACGUUAUUACAGGAGCCCUGGCAAAGUAAU
Molecule: non-coding RNA, 96 nt
Organism: Ceratotherium simum simum (southern white rhinoceros)
Lineage: Eukaryota; Metazoa; Chordata; Mammalia; Perissodactyla; Rhinocerotidae
Source: RefSeq, a predicted model, not a curated record